This 253-nucleotide ribosomal RNA is filed under the name uncultured bacterium. Its description in RNAcentral is "partial 16S ribosomal RNA". It matches the Rfam family "Bacterial small subunit ribosomal RNA", at positions 524 to 776 of the family's 1533-position model. The record is from RNAcentral.
UACGUAGGGUGCGAGCGUUAAUCGGAAUUACUGGGCGUAAAGCGUGUGUAGGUGGCUCGCUAAGUCGGUUGUGAAAUCCCUGGGCUCAACCUGGGAAUUGCAGUCGAUACUGGCAAGCUCGAGUUCGGUAGAGGGUGACGGAAUUCCGGGUGUAGCGGUGGAAUGCGUAGAGAUCCGGAAGAACACCAGUGGCGAAGGCGGUCAACUGGCCUCAUAUUGACACUCAGACGCGAAGGCAUGGGUAGCGAACGGG